GCCCCCGUAGCUCAGUGGAUAGAGCGCAGGCCUCCGAAGCCUGAAGCCGCGGUUCGAGUCCGCGCGGGGGUA
Molecule: transfer RNA, 72 nt
Filed under: Chloroflexota bacterium
Lineage: Bacteria; Bacillati; Chloroflexota
Also listed under: 3 other names
Description: tRNA-Arg
Rfam family: tRNA
About the family: Transfer RNA (tRNA) molecules are approximately 80 nucleotides in length. Their secondary structure includes four short double-helical elements and three loops (D, anti-codon, and T loops).
Source: RNAcentral